Molecule: ribosomal RNA, 276 nt
Filed under: uncultured bacterium
Lineage: Bacteria
Description: partial 16S ribosomal RNA
Rfam family: Bacterial small subunit ribosomal RNA
Source: RNAcentral
GUGAAUCCCUUGGCUCAACCAAGGAAGGGCAUUUGAAACUGUCUGGCUUGAGUACGGGAGGGGGAAGUGGAAUUCCCGGUGUAGAGGUGAAAUUCGUAGAUAUCGGGAGGAACACCGGUGGCGAAGGCGGCUUCCUGGACCGAUACUGACGCUGAGACGCGAAAGCGUGGGGAGCAAACAGGAUUAGAUACCCUGGUAGUCCACGCCGUAAACGUUGGGCACUUGGUGUUGCGGGUAUUGACCCCUGCAGUGCCAAGGGCGAAUUCCACAGUGGAU